GUACGAAAGCAUGGGGAGCAAACAGGAUUAGAUACCCUGGUAGUCCAUGCCGUAAACGAUGUCUACUAGCCGUUGGGGUCUUUGAGACCUUAGUGGCGCAGCUAACGCGAUAAGUAGACCGCCUGGGGAGUACGGUCGCAAGACUAAAACUCAAAUGAAUUGACGGGGGCCCGCACAAGCGGUGGAGCAUGUGGUUUAAUUCGAUGCAACGCGAAGAACCUUACCUGGCCUUGACAUACUAAGAACUUUCCAGAGAUGGAUUGGUGCCUUCGGGAACUUAGAUACAGGUGCUGCAUCGCUGUCGUCAGCUCGUGUCGUGAGAUGUUGGGUUAAGUCCCGCAACGAGCGCAACCCUUUUCCUUAUUUGCCAGCGAGUAAUGUCGGGAACUUUAAGGAUACUGCCAGUGACAAACUGGAGGAAGGCGGGGACGACGUCAAGUCAUCAUGGCCCUUACGGCCAGGGCUACACACGUGCUACAAUGGUCGGUACAAAGGGUUGCUACCUAGCGAUAGGAUGCUAAUCUCAAAAAGCCGAUCGUAGUCCGGAUUGGAGUCUGCAACUCGACUCCAUGAUGUCGGAAUCGCUAGUAAUCGCGGAUCAGAAUGCCGCGGUGAAUACGUUCCCGGGCCUUGUACACACCGCCCGUCACACCAUGGGAGUUUGUUGCACCAGAAGUAGCUAGCCUAACAGCAAUGAGGGCGGUUACCACGGUGUGGCCGAUGACU
Molecule: ribosomal RNA, 726 nt
Filed under: Acinetobacter sp. PH3
Lineage: Bacteria; Pseudomonadati; Pseudomonadota; Gammaproteobacteria; Moraxellales; Moraxellaceae
Description: bacterial SSU rRNA
Rfam family: Bacterial small subunit ribosomal RNA
Source: RNAcentral